Rhagoletis zephyria (snowberry fruit fly) is the source of this 500-nucleotide long non-coding RNA. RefSeq lists it as uncharacterized. The record is from RefSeq and is a predicted model, not a curated record. Lineage: Eukaryota; Metazoa; Arthropoda; Insecta; Diptera; Tephritidae.
GAAAAUUAUGCCGAUAAACAGGAUGGAAUUUGGGAAAAAAGGUUAUAAAUCGAGUGGCUCAUUUACGAUGUGCUCCAAACAUUUGGCGAACUUUUUUUCGCCUUUUCAACGUGCUAAGUAACAAGUUAAGAUGACUGCCAUCAUGGGCCGGUAAGAAACCGCAAGCAAAGGGCAGACAACCUUCCAGGAAGCUGCCUCCUGUCCCCGAGCCGAAGCUGCAGUUCAGCAAGAGCAGGUCAGCAAAUUGCUACCCUGAUCAAACGUAAACUAAAGCGCUCUGCUGUGAUUGCACUCCGUAAAUGUGAAAACUUGGUGCAUGCUGAGAAAUAUCAAACAAGAAAACUCCGUGAUGGACGCUGUGUGGCAAAGAAAUGCGGCCAAUUCGACGGGCCUGAAAAAUCCAAAUUGGCUUUUGUGAUCCGCAUCCGCGGUAUCAACAAAGUUGCACAAAAAGUGCGUAGUUUUACAGUUCUGUCUUCGCCACAUUAAAACGGUGUGUU